ACCUGGACCCCUGCUUGUCCGCAGGGACCCCCGGGAGCAAGAGCAUGGAGCAGAGGCCGCAGGACAGGCCCAGCCCAGGUGCUGAUGUCCCACAGAGAGCGCCAGGUAAGGGGCGAGGAGCCAGAGGCCUGGGGCAGGGGUGGGCGCCCAGGGGAGCCAGGGAGCAACGAGGGGAGGGAAGGUUUGGGAACCUCCUAGGAUGUUCCAGACGGCGACUUCAGGCAAAUUUGCCUGCCAAGGUCCACCCAAGUGCUGACCACUGGUCCUCUCACCUCCAGGCAUGGCCACAGCGGAUAGUCUUCCCGAGAAGGUCAGAGAGAUGGACACUUCCGUAAGUCUUUAUAUUAGCUAUCUAUAGCUGCAUAACAAAGGACCCCGAAUUUAGCAGCUUAACAGAAUGUCUCCACUUCCCGGGUCAGGAGUUCAGGUGCAGCUGAGCUGGUGGUUCAGGCUCAAGGUCUCCCUCGUGGUGCCACGACCAGGGCCGCUGUCAGCUGAGAGCUUGGCGGGGGCUGGGGCCCACCUCCGAGGUGGCCGACUCCAACGGCUGUGGGCAGGAGGCCUCAGCUGUCCAUGGCAGCCGGCUCCCCAGGGCAGGGACCUGGGAGUGGGACCUGAGAGGGUGCGGCCGAAGCCGCCAUGGCUUUAUGAGCUGCCUUGGGAGGGACAGGCCACC
This 676-nucleotide long non-coding RNA is filed under the name Dasypus novemcinctus (nine-banded armadillo). RNAcentral's name for it is "lncRNA (ENSDNOG00000052916.1)". The record is from RNAcentral. Lineage: Eukaryota; Metazoa; Chordata; Mammalia; Cingulata; Dasypodidae.